UUUCAUCAAAAAUUGAAUAAUUGGGGUUCUUUGAUAUGCUGAAUCUAACUGUGUAUGUAGAUUCUUAAUUUUUGGUCCCGUUUUCAAAUUGGUCUACAUUAAGGUCCAAAGGGUCCAAAAUUAAACUUAGUUUGAUUUUAACAAAAAUUGAAUCCUUGGGGUUCUUUGAUAUGCUGAAUCUAAAAAUCUACUUAGAUUUUUGAUUAUUGGCCCAGUUUUCAAGUUGGUCCAAAUCGGGG
This 239-nucleotide long non-coding RNA is filed under the name Mytilus galloprovincialis (Mediterranean mussel). Lineage: Eukaryota; Metazoa; Mollusca; Bivalvia; Mytilida; Mytilidae. The record is from RNAcentral.